This 90-nucleotide transfer RNA is filed under the name Pseudomonadales bacterium. Its description in RNAcentral is "tRNA-Ser". It matches the Rfam family "tRNA". From Rfam's summary of the family: Transfer RNA (tRNA) molecules are approximately 80 nucleotides in length. Their secondary structure includes four short double-helical elements and three loops (D, anti-codon, and T loops). Lineage: Bacteria; Pseudomonadati; Pseudomonadota; Gammaproteobacteria; Pseudomonadales. The record is from RNAcentral. RNAcentral also lists the same sequence under 2 other names.
GGAGAGAUGGCCGAGUGGCUGAAGGCGCGCCCCUGCUAAGGGCGUAUAGGGUAAAACCUAUCGAGGGUUCGAAUCCCUCUCUCUCCGCCA